UGUUUCCUAGGGUGUUCGCUAGCAGAGAUGUUCCUCGAGCCGAUGCUUUACUAUUUGGGAGCUUGUCAUCUGCUGAUGUUGUGCAUAUCCGGUUUACCGGAGAGCCUGAUUUAGUAAACGAGCCCCCCCCUGAACCUCCGGGUUCAAGGAGCUUAACCUGUAACGGCAUCAUUGGGAACCAU
Molecule: non-coding RNA, 182 nt
Filed under: Gammaproteobacteria bacterium
Lineage: Bacteria; Pseudomonadati; Pseudomonadota; Gammaproteobacteria
Description: 6S RNA
Rfam family: 6S / SsrS RNA
About the family: E. coli 6S RNA was the first non coding RNA to be sequenced, but its function was unknown until recently. It consists of 184 nucleotides that fold into an extended hairpin structure with a large single-stranded internal bulge.
Source: RNAcentral